UAAGUAGAAGCCAAAAAGGCGUUUGUCUGUUACACAAAUCCCUGCUUUCCCAUAAGCCUACUUAG
RNAcentral lists this transfer RNA (65 nucleotides) under Paraleonnates uschakovi. RNAcentral's name for it is "tRNA-Asn". The record is from RNAcentral. Lineage: Eukaryota; Metazoa; Annelida; Polychaeta; Phyllodocida; Nereididae.